GGGCACUCGGCCACUCAACCGGUCUCAAAAAUGGGGUUUCGCUGCUGCUGGGCAUCUCCAAACGGCACAUUUCCACUCCAGUCAGCAGUUUUGGUGAUCGUGAAGAGACCCAGAGCAGAUUUCUCUCCUUUGCCUGACCUCUACCAGGAUCUGGAGCCUUGGUGCCAGCAAGGACCCCUUGUGCCCGUCCAUAUCCUCAGUGAGUCAAGAUGGCUGGGAAGAAGAUCUGUGGUGUGGCUUCACUCUCCCAUCCUUAUCCCAUUUAUUUGACAUCGAAGCCUGCAGCAGUCAGAACUGGGCCACACACAGUGUAUAUUUGGAAGCACCUGACGUCCUUCCAGGACUGCAUCCUCCUCCAUUAAUAUAUCAGUUGGAUCCAUGCUCCCUACACCGGUGAGGAUGUGGGUUUUUUUUUUCUGCAAGAUCAGAGACCCAGCGUCUUCAUUUUGCACUUUAUAAAACCGCAGUUAGGAAACUAAAUUCCACAUGAGGAGGAAAGAUGUUAAGAUCGCUUCUGAUCACAUGAGAAUGCAGCAGACGUUCAGCAUGAGAGAAAACUGGAAGGAGGAGGCUGGGCUCAAGCCUCAUUCAGCACAGAUCCAAAGCAGCAGCAGCCACAGGUCUGGGCCAGAGGAGAGAUGGGUUGUCAGGCCCCAAACAGAACCCAAGUCCUGUGUGGGUGAGUGGUGAAGGGUACCAUCUGCUUAUAAAGUGUACGUUUUGUGAUCCGUACAAGUUGCUAAAUUUAAGAAAAAUGACUGCAGCAGUGAAGCAGAAAUUCACUAUAAGUAUUAAUAGGCAGCGGUUGUUGUUACUAUCUUGUUCUCCUUUGUACUGACACUCUGCCCCUCCCUUCUCCCAAAAGUGUGCCUAGAAAGGUACGGGAUGCUGCAGAACAUCCCAGGGCAGAAUUCAGGCCCCACCGCUGGCCUGAACUUUACCUGUACACAGGGCAAGUCCUAAAAGAAUAAGAGACCUACGUGAAACAGGAAAGAAGUAAUAGCAACAUCAACAAUGGCACCACGAUAACCCACCUCAAUGAGCGAUUGUCCACCAGGAGUCAGGAACCAUGUUAUGUGUUUUACAGACUUUGUUUCAUAUAAGUCUACCCAAUGAUACAGACAGAACAUGGAAGAAAAAAAAGGCUACAUGUACAAAAUCAUACAACUAGAAAAUGCCAGACUUAGAAUUUUUCCCAAAGUAUUUUGCUGAAACACAAAUAUAUUGACUUUUCAUUUGACCUUCAAAAGAUA
Molecule: long non-coding RNA, 1253 nt
Organism: Physeter macrocephalus (sperm whale)
Lineage: Eukaryota; Metazoa; Chordata; Mammalia; Artiodactyla; Physeteridae
Exons: 3
Source: RefSeq, a predicted model, not a curated record